This 313-nucleotide unclassified non-coding RNA is filed under the name uncultured Gemmatimonadota bacterium. RNAcentral describes it as "uncultured Gemmatimonadetes bacterium contains 16S-23S intergenic spacer region". Lineage: Bacteria; Pseudomonadati; Gemmatimonadota. The record is from RNAcentral.
UCCGGCUUGACGCCGGCAGUCCCCCGAGAGUCCUCAGCUUUACCUGUUAGUAACACGGGGCAAGGGUUGCGCUCGUUGCGGGACUUAACCCAACAUCUCACGAGUUUCCCCUGCAUGUCAAGCCUAGGUAAGGUUCUUCGCGUUGCGUCGAAUUAAACCACAUGCUCCACCGCUUGUGCGGGCCCCCGUCAAUUCCUUUGAGUUUCAGCCUUGCGGCCGUACUCCCCAGGCGGGGCACUUCAUGCGUUAGCGCCGGCACCCAGGGGGUCGCUCCCCCAAGCACCUAGUGCCCAUCGUUUACGGCGUGGACUAC